AGUGGUAUAGCUGGGUCAAGUGGGGUUCCAUUCCCAGUUUUCCAAGGACUCUCCAUACUGCUUGCCAUAUUGGCUGCACCAAUUUGCAGUCCCACCAGCAAU
This 102-nucleotide microRNA precursor is filed under the name Marmota monax (woodchuck). The record is from RNAcentral. Lineage: Eukaryota; Metazoa; Chordata; Mammalia; Rodentia; Sciuridae.